This 524-nucleotide ribosomal RNA is filed under the name uncultured bacterium. Its description in RNAcentral is "partial 16S ribosomal RNA". It matches the Rfam family "Bacterial small subunit ribosomal RNA", at positions 28 to 523 of the family's 1533-position model. The record is from RNAcentral.
GACGAACGCUGGCGGCGUGCUUAACACAUGCAAGUCGAACGAGACGAUUGAAAGCUUGCUUUCGAAAGUCGAGUGGCAAACGGGUGAGUAACGCGUAGACAACCUGCCUUUGAGAUGGGGACAACAGUUCGAAAGGACUGCUAAUACCGAAUGUUGUAUAUUUUCCACAUGGAAGAUAUAUUAAAGAUGGCCUCUAUUUAUAAGCUAUCGCUCAAAGAUGGGUCUGCGUCUGAUUAGCUAGUUGGUGGGGUAACGGCCUACCAAGGCGAUGAUCAGUAGCCGGUCUGAGAGGAUGAACGGCCACAUUGGGACUGAGACACGGCCCAGACUCCUACGGGAGGCAGCAGUGGGGAAUCUUCCACAAUGGACGAAAGUCUGAUGGAGCAACGCCGCGUGAGUGAAGAAGGGUUUCGGCUCGUAAAGCUCUGUUGUCGGGGACGAAUGUGCAGUAUUUGAAUAAAGUACUGUAAUGACGGUACCUGACGAGGAAGCCACGGCUAACUACGUGCCAGCCGCCGCCGUAA